Molecule: ribosomal RNA, 253 nt
Filed under: uncultured bacterium
Lineage: Bacteria
Description: partial 16S ribosomal RNA
Rfam family: Bacterial small subunit ribosomal RNA
Source: RNAcentral
UACGUAGGGCGCAAGCGUUGUCCGGAAUUAUUGGGCGUAAAGCGCACGUAGGCGGCUUAGCAAGUCGGAAGUGAAAUCCCUCGGCUCAACCAAGGAAGUGCUUUCGAAACUGCUGAGCUUGAGUACUUAAGAGGAUCGCGGAAUUCCCGGUGUAGAGGUGAAAUUCGUAGAUAUCGGGAGGAACACCAGUGGCGAAGGCGGCGAUCUGGGAAGAUACUGACGCUGAGGUGCGAAAGCGUGGGGAGCAAACAGG